This 27-nucleotide non-coding RNA is filed under the name Homo sapiens (human). The record is from RNAcentral. Lineage: Eukaryota; Metazoa; Chordata; Mammalia; Primates; Hominidae.
UAAAGCUUGUAGGACCUGGCAUAUUGC